This 3013-nucleotide long non-coding RNA is filed under the name Pomacea canaliculata. RNAcentral's name for it is "uncharacterized LOC112570031, transcript variant X2". Lineage: Eukaryota; Metazoa; Mollusca; Gastropoda; Architaenioglossa; Ampullariidae. The record is from RNAcentral.
UUAAAACUUUGCCAGGGGCUGCGGUUUUUUUGAAAGUCGAAACACUGCUGUCCACCAGUGUUAAAGAUCAUACAAAUUUCGAGAAUAUAAGCCUCAAGAGUGUUUUCUUAAUUAUUAUUUAAAAGAACUGUAACAGUGACCAAGGUGAUCCACAAUACAAACAAGCUUUCAGUCGCCUUCCUGAAGAUUGUCCUAACAAUGACAACUUACAAAACUUCAAAGGUUGAACUUUCCUCAGCGACAAUCCCUGCGGAAGCCCUUGUCAAGGUUUGUCACCAGAGUGACCCGCAGGUGCCCAGACGACAAGGAUAAAGUCGCAAAAAUAAUUUAGGGCCGACGACCGAGCCCUGGGGAGGAAAAGGCCGUUAGAGCGACCUGGGCGACAUUUUCGUGUUCUUUUUAUUACCACACCAAGUGCCUGCCGACAUCCACAGGCAAAUCUCAGAAAAUUGUUGCCGUGGGUGUUACUAAUGUCGCGGAUUUCGCCUCCGGUAUUUUGAGUCAUGCUGAUCAUGGGGACUUGAAGUUGCUAAUAGGCCGGAUGUCAAGUUUGGUAGACCUCCAGACUGAGCUCAAGUUCAUUUACCUGCCUGUCUAGUUUCACCGUGGGCGGCAUAAUAAGGAAUCUCUCCCUGUUCUGAUGUGCGAGUCCACCACACCUUUCCUCCCCGUCUCUCUCCCCUCUCCUCCCCCAUAUCCUCCAUCGCUUGCAUCCGUCUCUGUGUGAAUGGCUGAGAUGAUCACAAAAUGUUUUACUGCUUCCUCCUGUGCAGCUGCUAGUGCAUUUUUUUUUCGGGAACGUAAAAAGAAACCUCUCACCUCAGCUCCAUUUUCUCACCUCACAGUUUGGCAGGUCGGUCAGGUUCCCAAUAUCAUUUUUCUUGUGUAGAUGCGUCACCGUUCUUUUGAGACUCGGCAAAUACAAACAGUCCAAGGUAAACAGUCCUGGUCGCUGAAUCCCAGUAAGGUAAAGAAAUCGAGGAUAGCUCAGGUGCUUGUAAUAGAAGUAAUAAUAAUAAUUCUCUGUUCACAUGUAGCGGACCGGAUAUACACAAACAUCUAUUGCUCAGCUAUGCCCACUAUGCGGACAUCUUUCAUCAGGGUGAGAUGAGCGAGGCAAAGAGGAAAGACGUUUGAUUUCUUUAAUGUGUGUGUUUUAUUUGGUGUAUGGAGGAGGUGAGAGAAAGAGAAAGCAGCAUUUGUGUCCACACUGCCCCCUUGACAUUUGUAAGGCUGUAUACAUCCUGUCGCUACCUCUACCCCAAAACCGUCCCCGUCUCAAAAGAAAACGUUCAACAAACAUUUAAAUCGAAAUCGGUUUCUUUUCCGGAUACACGAGCAAAUACCAAUUCUAACAGUCCCACCAGGGGCACCUCUCUCAGGUAAACAUCAUCGUCAACCACGGCGACAGCAUUAGCCAUCAGCCAAAAAAAAAGAAAUUAUCUCGUGAUCUACGCGUUAAACGUCCAAGAGAUACGACCCAGUCCCCCUAAAGAAGUCUCUCCCUACUCAGCACAAAGCACAUAAAACUUAAUAAUCAAGCGUUUACUGUUAAAAUGUGACAAUGUGCAAAGUUUUUUUUUCUGAGGUUUGCGGUCAUCUAAAAGUACACCUGGGUGCAUCACCGCUGUUUAAAUGUCUAAUGGGGCGCACUUUUCUCCUGAAGACAGGUUAAAACUUGGUACACGAUUGUGGGAAAGAACAUCUCGCACUGAGCUUUACCAGGCAUUAAAAAAAUUGUACCCACUAUCAAAUCAAGUUUCUUAUCCCGCAGUGAAAUCCACUAUUUUUGAAUCUUUUCCGUUUGAAAUAAUUCGUGGUAUGGUCGCAGAAAAUAAGUAGCUACAACUAUCAUAUGCCGCAUCCCUCCUUUUUCAAUCAAAUUCUCUGAUUGCAAAGACCGCAACAGAGCACUGGACAGUCGAACUGCUUCUGAAUGCACAUCAGAGUUCAGAUGCUGGCCUAUGGGAUAUUUGCCCUUUGCACAACAUCCAUGGCAACAGGCUGGCUAGUCAGCCAUAUCUUCCUACGUGCUAUAAAGCUUGUCCCCACGGAAAGUCAAGCUGUGCCAGGAUAUUGACCGCAUUCUGGAAAACAUGUCCUCGUUUUAAAGUUCUGGCCCAUAACUGUUUGUGCCUCUAGCCCGGAGUUCGUCUCGAGACUGCAAAUUGACUGAGUGGCUAAUCGAUCCGCGGCCAUUGGGUUUUUUUCCAGAUUAAUUUCCUGACGCGUGAUCCGAAGCCGAGAGGAAGGUUUGGCCGAGUUCCUUCGUGAGUCAUGGAGCUGUGACACUGCGCUUUGUAGGUCGGGAUGGACCUGUUGACUACUGGGCAUGUAUACUUCCCUGAUGUAGGGGUAUGUACGUUUUUGUCGAUCGUCUGUGUAUGUGUGUGUGGAGGUGGGCGUGCGUGCAUGAUUCGUGUAUCUGUGUGUGCAUGCUUGCCGUGUAGUGUUGGUGUGUGUGUGUGGGUGGCCUACGCAGGAGAGAGAUUGAUGUUCAUGUCACCAAACGUCAGACAAUGAAAAUGCCGAUGUUUCUACGCCUGUACAUCCUUAACCCUCACCCAUUGUUUUCGUUAACGUUGACAUUCACAAACAAGACCCAGCCACAUGCACAACAAUGCGUUGGCUAUGCUGUCACCUUGCUUGUCCUCAGCAACAUGCGUCAUCCCUGCUUGAGUCUGCACUUGACUUUACUGCCUUGCCCACCCGACCCUUCCCCUCCUUGGUAUUUGCAAUAUACUUUGUACUUACUCUACUGUUAUCCCUGGUUGUGCUAUCCAUCAAGUCUCGGCAUUGACCUGAGCUGUCCCUGACUGCUGAGUCUGGCAUUUGAGUGCCUCCUAUACGGGCUCAACCUUCGGGGUUCAGAUUCUGCUGCCUCACCUCAGAACUCAACAACAUCUCUCCUAACUUCAACGGAUGCCUCAAGCGUAGCUGUGAAAUAUGUAUCGUUAAAAUAAGACGGACUCGGCUUUCCUGUAUUUCAAUAAAAGAUCUGUCCUAGCAUUUA